Molecule: ribosomal RNA, 814 nt
Filed under: uncultured Ascomycota
Lineage: Eukaryota; Fungi; Ascomycota
Description: LSU rRNA
Rfam family: Eukaryotic large subunit ribosomal RNA
Source: RNAcentral
GUGAAAUUGUGAAAGGGAAGCGCUUGCAACCAGACCUGCCUGCAGUUGCUCAUCCGGGCUUUUGCCCGGUGCACUCUUCUGCUGUCAGGCCAGCAUCAGUUCGGGCGGUCGGAUAAAGGCUUCGGGAAUGUAGCUCCUCUCGAGGAGUGUUAUAGCCCGUUGCGAAAUGCGGCCAGCCUGAACUGAGGUCCGCGCUUCGGCUAGGAUGCUGGCGUAAUGGUUGUAAGCGGCCCGUCUUGAAACACGGACCAAGGAGUCUAACAUCUGUGCGAGUGUUUGGGUGUCAAACCCGUACGCGUAAUGAAAGUGAACGGAGGCGGGAACCCCUCGGGGUGCACCGUCGACCGAUCCUGAUGUCUUCGGAUGGAUUUGAGUAAGAGCAUAGCUGUUGGGACCCGAAAGAUGGUGAACUAUGCCUGAAUAGGGUGAAGCCAGAGGAAACUCUGGUGGAGGCUCGCAGCGGUUCUGACGUGCAAAUCGAUCGUCAAAUUUGGGCAUAGGGGCGAAAGACUAAUCGAACUAUCUAGUAGCUGGUUCCUGCCGAAGUUUCCCUCAGGAUAGCAGUAACGUUUUCAGUUUUAUGAGGUAAAGCGAAUGAUUAGAGGCCUGGGGGUUGAAACAACCUUCACCUAUUCUCAAACUUUAAAUAUGUAAGAAGUCCUUGUUGCUUAGUUGAACGUGGACAUUUGAAUGUAUCGUUACUAGUGGGCCAUUUUUGGUAAGCAGAACUGGCGAUGCGGGAUGAACCGAACGCGGAGUUAAGGUGCCGGAAUGCACGCUCAUCAGACACCACAAAAGGUGUUGGUUCAUCUAG